UGGGGAAUAUUGCGCAAUGGGGGAAACCCUGACGCAGCAACGCCGCGUGAGUGAAGAAGGCCUUAGGGUUGUAAAGCUCUGUCAUAUGGGAAGAUAAUGACGGUACCAUAAGAGGAAGCCACGGCUAACUACGUGCCAGCAGCCGCGGUAAUACGUAGGUGGCGAGCGUUGUCCGGAUUUACUGGGCGUAAAGGAUGCGUAGGCGGAUAUUUAAGUGGGAUGUGAAAUCCCCGAGCUUAACUCGGGGGCUGCAUUCCAAACUGGAUAUCUAGAGUGUCGGAGGGGAAAGUGGAAUUCCUAGUGUAGCGGUGAAAUGCGUAGAGAUUAGGAAGAACACCAGUGGCGAAGGCGACUUUCUGGACGAUAACUGACGCUGAGGCAUGAAAGCGUGGGGAGCAAACAGG
This 404-nucleotide ribosomal RNA is filed under the name uncultured bacterium. RNAcentral describes it as "bacterial SSU rRNA". It matches the Rfam family "Bacterial small subunit ribosomal RNA", at positions 355 to 776 of the family's 1533-position model. The record is from RNAcentral.